Molecule: ribosomal RNA, 488 nt
Filed under: uncultured bacterium
Lineage: Bacteria
Description: bacterial SSU rRNA
Rfam family: Bacterial small subunit ribosomal RNA
Source: RNAcentral
GAUGAACGCUAGCUACAGGCUUAACACAUGCAAGUCGAGGGGCAUCGCAGUGUAGCAAUACAUGGGUGGCGACCGGCGCACGGGUGCGUAACGCGUAUCCAACCUUCCCGUUACUCAGGGAUAGCCUUCCGAAAAGGGAGAUUAAUACCUGAUGGUGUUUGAAUUCCGCAUGUUAUUCAAACUAAAGAUUAAUCGGUAACGGAUGGGGGAUGCGUGACAUUAGAUAGUAGGCGGGGUAACGGCCCACCUAGUCUACGAUGUCUAGGGGGUUCUGAGAGGAAGGUCCCCCACACUGGAACUGAGACACGGUCCAGACUCCUACGGGAGGCAGCAGUGAGGAAUAUUGGUCAAUGGUCGGAAGACUGAACCAGCCAAGUAGCGUGAAGGAUGAAGGUUCUAUGGAUUGUAAACUUCUUUAUACGGGAAUAAAACCUCCCACGUGUGGGAGCUUGUAUGUACCGUAUGAAUAAGCAUCGGCUAACUCCGUG